Molecule: ribosomal RNA, 468 nt
Filed under: uncultured bacterium
Lineage: Bacteria
Description: partial 16S ribosomal RNA
Rfam family: Bacterial small subunit ribosomal RNA
Source: RNAcentral
GACGAACGCUGGCGGCGUGCUUAACACAUGCAAGUCGAACGGAAAGGCCCUGCUUUUGUGGGGUGCUCGAGUGGCGAACGGGUGAGUAACACGUGAGUAACCUGCCCUUGACUUUGGGAUAACUUCAGGAAACUGGGGCUAAUACCGGAUAGGAGCUCCUGCUGCAUGGUGGGGGUUGGAAAGUUUCGGCGGUUGGGGAUGGACUCGCGGCUUAUCAGCUGGUUGGUGGGGUAGUGGCUUACAAAGGCUUUGACGGGUAGCCGGCCUGAGAGGGUGACCGGCCACAUUGGGACUGCGAGACGGCCCAGACUCCUACGGGAGGCAGCAGUGGGGAAUAUUGCACAAUGGGCGGAAGCCUGAUGCAGCAACGCCGCGUGCGGGAUGACGGCCUUCGGGUUGUAAACCGCUUUCGCCUGUGACGAAGCGUGAGUGACGGUAAUGGGUAAAGAAGCACCGGCUAACUACGUG